AUCCAGCUGACGAGUCCCAAACAGGACGAAGUGGUGAGCGUCCUGGAU
RNAcentral lists this non-coding RNA (48 nucleotides) under Schistosoma mansoni. The record is from RNAcentral. Lineage: Eukaryota; Metazoa; Platyhelminthes; Trematoda; Strigeidida; Schistosomatidae.